RNAcentral lists this ribosomal RNA (466 nucleotides) under uncultured bacterium. Its description in RNAcentral is "partial 16S ribosomal RNA". It matches the Rfam family "Bacterial small subunit ribosomal RNA", at positions 28 to 507 of the family's 1533-position model. The record is from RNAcentral.
GACGAACGCUGGCGGCGCGCCUAACACAUGCAAGUCGAACGAGCGAGAGAGAGCUUGCUUUCUUGAGCGAGUGGCGAACGGGUGAGUAACGCGUGAGGAACCUGCCUCAAAGAGGGGGACAACAGUUGGAAACGACUGCUAAUACCGCAUAAGCCCACGGUGCCGCAUGGCACAGAGGGAAAAGGGGCAAUCCGCUUUGAGAUGGCCUCGCGUCCGAUUAGCUAGUUGGUGAGGUAACGGCCCACCAAGGCGACGAUCGGUAGCCGGACUGAGAGGUUGAACGGCCACAUUGGGACUGAGACACGGCCCAGACUCCUACGGGAGGCAGCAGUGGGGAAUAUUGCACAAUGGGGGAAACCCUGAUGCAGCGACGCCGCGUGGAGGAAGAAGGUCUUCGGAUUGUAAACUCCUGUUGUUGGGGAAGAUAAUGACGGUACCCAACAAGGAAGUGACGGCUAACUACGUG